CUGCAGGAGAUACUGUUAGGCUAGGGGGCGGGAGAAGCCGACGGUAUUUUCGGGGUAGGGGUAAAAUCCUAUAAUCCCGGGAAGACCACCAGUGGCGUAGGCGGUCGGCUAGCACGCGCUCGACGGUGAGGGACGAAAGCUGGGGGAGCGAACCGGAUUAGAUACCCGGGUAGUCUCAGCUGUAAACGAUGCUGGCUAGGUGUUGAAGCGGCUACGAGCCGCUUCAGUGCCGCAGGGAAGCCAUUAAGCCAGCCGCCUGGGGAGUACGGCCGCAAGGCUGAAACUUAAAGGAAUUGGCGGGGGAGCACCACAAGGGGUGAAGCUUGCGGUUUAAUUGGAGUCAACGCCGGGAACCUUACCGGGCGCGACAGCAGGAUGAAAGCCAGAUUGAAGGUCUUGCUGGACGAGCUGAGAGGAGGUGCAUGGCCGUCGCCAGUUCGUGCCGUGAGGUGUCCUGUUAAGUCAGGCAACGAUCGAGACCCACACCCUCUGUUGCUACUGAGGAGUUUUCCAAGGGGCACUCUGAGGGGACUGCCGCCGAUA
This 543-nucleotide ribosomal RNA is filed under the name uncultured crenarchaeote. Its description in RNAcentral is "bacterial SSU rRNA". It matches the Rfam family "Archaeal small subunit ribosomal RNA", at positions 572 to 1116 of the family's 1478-position model. Lineage: Archaea; Thermoproteati; Thermoproteota. The record is from RNAcentral.